UCCUUGGAUUUCUCUGUUCUCUCACUGUGGCCCUGAAGAAAUUCUCCACAUUGUUAGUUCCUCUUUGCCAGUAUUUUAUGGUGGGAAUACUAUGACCCUGUACCUGGCCACUCUGAGGUCAUGAAAGGAUUUCAUGUAUGACCUCAGUGGUGGUCAUAGUUUUAUGCUUUUCUGACCUAUGUGCCAGGUCCCAGACCCUGAAAGGGGAUAGGAAUGGCCCUAGGUAUCCCAAAACCAUCAGCUCCCCUAUUACUUACCCCAUAAUGUGUUGGACAUAUGAGGGGUAACGGAAUUCUGUCUUAUUGGCACCCUUCUUUGCCACAUCUGCUCCUGUGGACAGAAUCACCAGCUCAGGAUGAGGACCAAGAGGGUUACCCCAAAUGAUGAUCUAACCAAACAACCCACCAGCAAAAUGCUUUUUUUUUUUUAAGUAAAAGAAGAGGAUCAAAUGCAGAAUGCAGCCUUGUUGAUGGCAUGCUACCAUUUAUGUGGCCUGGAUGCAGGGCAUGGACACAUUUGUCUGUGUACUCAGCACCUGUCUCCAGUGGCCCACUGGAGCAUCAUUGCCCAGGAAGGAGGCCCUGGUUGGGAGGGAGACUCUUCUGUGAAUGCACUGGAAGUCUUAUAGAAAGAAGUUUCCAUCUAGAAAAGGAGAGUUGCAUAGUUUGGCACUGGAACCCAUUCCUGAGCAUUGUGCCUACUCUCUCUGUGGCACUUUAAGUUCUUAAAGUACAUGGAGAAACUGAGACCGUGAGAUGCCCAACCACCCAGCAAGGUCAGCUUGCCGAAGGAAUGCUUGGGCAGAGGCACAGUGAAGCCUCCCCUGGGCACUUUCUGGGUGAUCCUCUGGCAGAAAGUACACAAAAGCAGAACAGAUGGCCCUGCCAUGUCUGUCCACAACUGCCCCGACCAGCCUGCCUCCUAUCAUUUCACAGAAACAAGAUUUCAAAAUUCAGGAUGACGCUAUUCAGCUCCAGCAGAUGAACCACAACCAUUAAUGAACCAUUAAUUACACCAACCUGUGUACUGUUCUUAUCCUCCUUUGUAGGUAAGAACAUACACCUGAUUCAAGACUGACCAAUGAGAUAAAAGGAGUUUCCGAGACAUGAUUUUCCUGCUGAAACAAUCAGUCAUAGCUGAUAUUUCCCUUCUUACUUCUUCCUGCUUUGAAUGUGGUUGGGAUGGCUUGGGCUUGGGCAGAAAUUUUGUAUGCAUGAAGGGAACCUGGUAGAAUCUAGAGAUGUUGAACCUGACAUCACUGAGCUGCUGAACCAAUGCUGGUACUGUUACUGACACAAGAAAAAUAAAACCCCAUUCAUGUGAGUCACUAUAGAUGCAUUUUCUAUUACUUGCAGCCCAACUCAGCCCUAACAAGUACACGUAUGUAUGAUACAGAAUUAAUAUCAACUAGGUACAAAUUACAUUGGUUUAUAUCCCCAAGGCUUAUUUCAAAGCUCCUAAGUUCCUCAACAUUUUGCUUCUCUUCUUGUCCUUGCUACCUACCAAAGAGAGGAAUGAGACCCACUGAAAGUAAAGUAUCCACAUACACCUCUACUGAGGGGUGACUUGUCUGCCUCUUCCACCUGACUCUGCACUGUUCAAGUUGGGGAAGUCUACACUCAUUUAUUUGUUAACAUUUAUUCUCUCCCAUCUAGAGUCCAGGAGUUUGAUGGGACAUA
Long non-coding RNA from Heterocephalus glaber (naked mole-rat), 1679 nucleotides. RefSeq lists it as uncharacterized. NCBI's taxonomy places the organism in Eukaryota, Metazoa, Chordata, Mammalia, Rodentia, Bathyergidae. The record is from RefSeq and is a predicted model, not a curated record.